CCUACGGGUGGCAGCAGUGAGGAAUAUUGGUCAAUGGACGAGAGUCUGAACCAGCCAAGUAGCGUGAAGGAUGACUGCCCUCUGGGUUGUAAACUUCUUUUAUAUGGGAAUAAAACGUUCCACGUGUGGGAUUUUGUAUGUACCAUAUGAAUAAGGAUCGGCUAACUCCGUGCCAGCAGCCGCGGUAAUACGGAGGAUCCGAGCGUUAUCCGGAUUUAUUGGGUGUAAAGGGAGCGUAGGUGGAUUGUUAAGUCAGUUGUGAAAGUUUGCGGCUCAACCGUAAAAUUGCAGUUGAAACUGGCAGUCUUGAGUACAGUAGAGGUGGGCGGAAUUCGUGGUGUAGCGGUGAAAUGCUUAGAUAUCACGAAGAACUCCGAUUGCGAAGGCAGUUCACUGGACUGCAACUGACACUGAGGCUCGAAAGUGUGGGUAUCAAACAGGAUUAGAUACCCUAGUAGUC
This 460-nucleotide ribosomal RNA is filed under the name uncultured bacterium. RNAcentral describes it as "partial 16S ribosomal RNA". It matches the Rfam family "Bacterial small subunit ribosomal RNA", at positions 338 to 795 of the family's 1533-position model. The record is from RNAcentral.